GACGAACGCUGGCGGCGUGCUUAACACAUGCAAGUCGAACGGAAAGGCCCUGCUUUUGUGGGGUGCUCGAGUGGCGAACGGGUGAGUAACACGUGAGUAACCUGCCCUUGACUUUGGGAUAACUUCAGGAAACUGGGGCUAAUACCGGAUAGGAGCUCCUGCUGCAUGGUGGGGGUUGGAAAGUUUCGGCGGUUGGGGAUGGACUCGCGGCUUAUCAGCUUGUUGGUGGGGUAGUGGCUUACCAAGGCUUUGACGGGUAGCCGGCCUGAGAGGGUGACCGGCGACAUUGGGACUGAGAUACGGCCCAGACUCCUACGGGAGGCAGCAGGGGGGAAUAUUGCACAACGGGCGGAAGCCUGAUGCAGCAACGCCGCGUGCGGGAUGACGGCCUUCGGGUGGUAAACCGCUUUCGCCUGUGGCGAAGCGUGAGUGACGGUAAUGGGUAAAGAAGCACCGGCUAACUACGUG
Molecule: ribosomal RNA, 468 nt
Filed under: uncultured bacterium
Lineage: Bacteria
Description: partial 16S ribosomal RNA
Rfam family: Bacterial small subunit ribosomal RNA
Source: RNAcentral